CACACUCCAAGCAGUGCUUGAUGUUGGACGGUGCGGAGGCCGCCUCGGGUUUUUCCUGGGACGGGUUGAUCCGCACGUCUGGAACGCGUGGGCGUCCGGUCUGUCGUGACACCGCGAGCGUAGCAAGGCUUUUGCAGUCAACGUCGCUCGAUCGGGACUCCAGCGGACGGUCAUAUUUUUCCCGUAGGCGACUACGUGGAUUCAUUCAAGA
This 211-nucleotide unclassified non-coding RNA is filed under the name uncultured Scolecobasidium. Its description in RNAcentral is "sequence contains ITS2". The record is from RNAcentral. Lineage: Eukaryota; Fungi; Ascomycota.